RNAcentral lists this ribosomal RNA (503 nucleotides) under uncultured bacterium. Its description in RNAcentral is "partial 16S ribosomal RNA". It matches the Rfam family "Bacterial small subunit ribosomal RNA", at positions 30 to 523 of the family's 1533-position model. The record is from RNAcentral.
AUUGAACGCUGGCGGCAGGCUUAACACAUGCAAGUCGAGCGGAGUGAUGGUGCUUGCACUAUCACUUAGCGGCGGACGGGUGAGUAAUGCUUAGGAAUCUGCCUAUUAGUGGGGGACAACAUCUCGAAAGGGAUGCUAAUACCGCAUACGUCCUACGGGAGAAAGCAGGGGAUCACUUGUGACCUUGCGCUAAUAGAUGAGCCUAAGUCGGAUUAGCUAGUUGGUGGGGUAAAGGCCUACCAAGGCGACGAUCUGUAGCGGGUCUGAGAGGAUGAUCCGCCACACUGGGACGGAGACACGGCCCAGACUCCUACGGGAGGCAGCAGUGGGGAAUAUUGGACAAUGGGGGGAACCCUGAUCUAGCCAUGCCGCGUGUGUGAAGAAGGCCUUAUGGUUGUAAAGUACUUUAAGCGAGGAGGAGGCUCUUUUGGUUAAUACCCAAGAUGAGUGGACGUUACUCGCAGAAUAAGCACCGGCUAACUCUGUGCCAGCCGCCGCCGUAA